This 77-nucleotide transfer RNA is filed under the name Rattus norvegicus (Norway rat). It matches the Rfam family "tRNA". From Rfam's summary of the family: Transfer RNA (tRNA) molecules are approximately 80 nucleotides in length. Lineage: Eukaryota; Metazoa; Chordata; Mammalia; Rodentia; Muridae. The record is from Rfam by way of RNAcentral.
ACAGAGAUGGCUCAGCAGUUAAGAGCACUGGCUUGCUUCUCUUCCAGAGGACCUGGGUUCAAAUCCUAGCACCUAUA